GAAAACAAAUGAAUUAAAUGAAUCUCAGUGACACGUGGGCACCAGUAUUUAAAAUAUGAGGUCUAACAGGUUUAAGCCCCGCCCCUUUUCUGACACACCUGGAAAAAUCCCGAGGCUGUGAACUCUACGUGCAGAGACUUCAUCUGGAAUACUUUGGAUGCAAGAACUGAUUUAGUCUCCGGUGGUGGAUAAAUGCAGGCCUGGUUCCCGUUCCAGAUCCCAAUCCAGAUUCUGGAUUCUGAGCAUCUGUUGCCAAGUGGACCAGACUGGCCAGCUAAAUCACACAGCCAAUCAAGAAGAAACAUCACAUCCUGUCAACUCCUUCGCAUCUGGAGCUGAACUGGUUCGAUUCCUUGGAUAAAGGGGGAAAACACAUCUUGGAUUUCAUGAACUAUUUUGAACAACUUGUCUGUAUAUUUAGUAAAUAUCAAUACAUUUCACUAGUUUUGCGCCAU
This is a long non-coding RNA of Xiphophorus couchianus (Monterrey platyfish), 455 nucleotides long. RefSeq lists it as uncharacterized. Lineage: Eukaryota; Metazoa; Chordata; Actinopteri; Cyprinodontiformes; Poeciliidae. The record is from RefSeq and is a predicted model, not a curated record. The transcript has 2 exons.